Molecule: non-coding RNA, 792 nt
Filed under: Pontastacus leptodactylus (narrow-clawed crayfish)
Lineage: Eukaryota; Metazoa; Arthropoda; Malacostraca; Decapoda; Astacidae
Source: RNAcentral
UUAAAGUUUGAUUUUUGCCUAGUAAUUUUGUUUUAUAAUUAACUAAUAUAUGCAAAUUUUGGUGAUUAAAAUUUACUAAAAGUAGUUUAGGUGUAGCAAUAUUUAAUAUUGAUAAAUAAGGUUAAUCUUGAAUUGGUAAAUUAUAAUAAAUCUGAGAAAAUCUUGUGCCAGCAGUCGCGGUUAUACUAGGGGGUUAAAUAAAAUUUAUUAGUUAAAGUUAAUUAAGUUAAUUUUUAAUAAAAUUUUAUCUUAAUAAAAAGUGAAAUUAGAUUAUUAAAUGUAAAAUUUUAUUUAAUUUUAAUAUAAUGAAGCUUAAAAAAUUAAGGUAUGAAUUAGGAUUAGAUACCCUAGUACACUUUAAAUUAAUUAUAAAAAAAAACUGGAAUACUAAAAGUUAUAUUCUUUAAAUUUAAAAAAUUUGGCGGUAUUUUAGUCUAGUUAGAGGAACCUGUUUUUUAAACGACAAUACACGCAUUAUCUUACUUAUUCUAGUAAUCAGUUUGUAUACCGUCAUUAUAAGAUAAUUUAAGAGAGAAUAUUAUUAAAAUCAUAUUAUGUGAGUAUAUUAGAUCAAGGUGCAGCUAAUGAAUAAGAAAAAAUGGGUUACAAUAAAAUUUAUUUAUAUGGAUUUAAUAUUUAAAUAUAUUAAUGAAGGAGGAUUUAAUUGUAAAAUAAAAUUAAUAGGUUUUUUUGAUAGGAGCUCUAAAUUAUGUACAUAUCGCCCGUCGCUUUCAUUUAAGGUGAAAUAAGUCGUAACAUAGUAGGGGUGCUGGAAAGGGUCCCUAGAAUUAU